GGCACGAGGGUGUGUGUAUAUAUAUAAAGAAGGAGAUGUUAAUGUAGCACAAUGCUUGUCGUUAUGUGAGAAAAUCAGCGUGAAGGAGUGAAAACGCAGGGCUCUGAUGUGGCUUUGUUCUUCACAGAGACACCACUGAAGACUUUGGACCUGCUGAACAAGGCUGCACUUCUCCGGCUAGGAAGAAAAAGAAGGGAGCGAGAGGAGGAGCCGCAGCAGUUCUGAGGAUGAUCGGCCCUAAUCUCUCCUCCAGGCGCCAUCACACGGGAACACUCCGAUCUGCACGGCCGCAGUCUCAUUCCUCAAGUGCAGCCACGUUUGCUGGGGAUCUGCUGUUCCUGCGCUGGCAGCAUCCGAAGGCCCCACGAGUUCAGCAGUGUCACAUGAUCCGGCACAAGCAGAUCUGAUGUUUACACUGGCUCAUCUCACUGCAGAAGAGACACACACCUGCAAACUGGAUUACUUAUGAUCAUGACAUUUUAUUGUUGAGGUAAUAUAAUUCAGUUCUACUGGAUGGAGAAAGUAAUUUUAAUAUAGUGAACUGACUGAUUUAUUGGUAAUGCAUUUCUACAGAUUAAGAAUUCCCUUUAGAGGUAAAUAUCAGCUUUAAUCUCAAUCCCUGAUUCUAUUUAAUGCACUUUUUAAAAUGAAAUAUCACUAAUUUUCCAAUUUUAAAAUGAGGUAAUCCACUUUUUCUGUUUCAGAUUAAUGCAUUUAAAGUGUUUAAUGCAUGUACUUUGACUUAUUGUGAGUGAAUGUGUAAUGUUCUCACUCAAAUGCUGCAUGCAUGCUUAAAAAACAUAAAGAUAUAAAGUGUUUGUCUUUGAUAUUUGCUGUCACAUGGAUCCUUUUAAACCACAAUGGACUGUGUUCAUUCUAUUUGACUUUUGACCUUUUAAAAUUAAAGCUUAAUUAAUUGUUA
This is a long non-coding RNA of Acanthochromis polyacanthus (spiny chromis), 922 nucleotides long. RefSeq lists it as uncharacterized. The transcript has 2 exons. NCBI's taxonomy places the organism in Eukaryota, Metazoa, Chordata, Actinopteri, Pomacentridae. The record is from RefSeq and is a predicted model, not a curated record.